CGCGUGAGUGGUGGUUGGUGUGUGUGGGCAUGUCGGAUCCCUGCUCCGGGCAGCGACGGCAUCUCCAAUACGCCUCUUCAUUCGUGGGAACGAGCUUGUGCUCGUCCGCGGUCGGCUUUCCUGUGUUGCAUACCUAUUGCGAGGGCAUUCGGUUGGCUAAAAUUGUCCCAUCUCCGCCUCGCGUCGGCGCUCCGUGCGGGCGUACGUUGCGGGGUGGAUCUCGCNGCAUCCGUUNUGUUUCGCGCCGCAUUCACCUAACUUGGUGUUUGGGUAGGCGACCCAUGACGUGAUGCGCGUUGUCUCGGGUACGGAACAUCGGGUGGGUUCGAGGCACUGUCCUUCGAUCGCCACACAAAUGCGUUCUACGCUUUAUGCGAACGACGGCCGCACACGGGCUUCGGCGGAGCACUCGCUGCUCGGUCGGAGCCGUGUCGGCGUCGGUGAGGGAUGC
Molecule: unclassified non-coding RNA, 451 nt
Filed under: Hyptis heterophylla
Lineage: Eukaryota; Viridiplantae; Streptophyta; Magnoliopsida; Lamiales; Lamiaceae
Description: partial external transcribed spacer
Source: RNAcentral